This 604-nucleotide long non-coding RNA is filed under the name Sus scrofa (pig). RNAcentral describes it as "lncRNA (ENSSSCG00065058386.1, ENSSSCG00070013762.1)". Lineage: Eukaryota; Metazoa; Chordata; Mammalia; Artiodactyla; Suidae. The record is from RNAcentral.
UUUGUAAUUAGGAAAACAACAAAGAUUAAAACCAAGAGAAAAAAAACAAAUUUAUUUUAGGUGGCAGGCAGUCAGGCCUUGCCUGGCCAUAUCACUUAUCAGAUGUGUGGUUGUGCAACCUGACUACCAGGUUUCAACUCCUGAGAUAUUGCUGUUAAACUCAGGUACAAAAUCUUUCCCACAAGCCCAGCCUGAGGGCUCAUCCUUAUUCACUGCAGUUUCUCUUGAUUUCUUUUUGACCCUCUACUGCCACUGCUGAUCUCUGGCCAUCCUCUUCCUGUCUCCUUGUCCAGCUGGGCCAGAUAAACAGACUUCUGGCAUUUUCAUGCAUGAUUCAUAACUUUAUGUAAAUGCUCUGGCAAGCUGGAUGAAUGGACAUGAUCCAAUAAAGAUAUUGAGCCUGAGAAUAAAACGCAGUAAAAGAGUGUUGAGAGCACAGAACUCCUCUGAAGUGGAAGGAUCCUUCUCACAGGAUGAAACCAUGUCUCACAUACUCCAGUAUUCUCAAAAGCCUAAUAUAGAACUGAGCAUGUACCAGAGCCUCAAUAUAUCUUUAUUUUUGUAAAUUAAAAAUUUAUACCGAUAUAUAAUGCAUAAGUGUGCC